AUUGAACGCUGGCGGAAUGCUUUACACAUGCAAGUCGAACGGCAGCACGGACUUCGGUCUGGUGGCGAGUGGCGAACGGGUGAGUAAUAUAUCGGAACGUGCCCAGUCGUGGGGGAUAACGUAGUGAAAAUUACGCUAAUACCGCAUACGAUCUAUGGAUGAAAGCGGGGGAUCGCAAGACCUCGCGCGAUUGGAGCGGCCGAUAUCAGAUUAGGUAGUUGGUGAGGUAAAGGCUCACCAAGCCGACGAUCUGUAGCUGGUCUGAGAGGACGACCAGCCACACUGGGACUGAGACACGGGCAAGACUCCUACGGGAGGCAGCAGUGGGGAAUUUUGGACAAUGGACGAAAGUCUGAUCCAGCCAUUCCGCGUGCAGGACGAAGGCCUUCGGGUUGUAAACUGCUUUUGUACAGAACGAAAAGGUCUCUAUUAAUACUAGGGGCUCAUGACGGUACUGUAAGAAUAAGCACCGGCUAACUACGUGCCAGCAGCCGCCGUAA
This 500-nucleotide ribosomal RNA is filed under the name uncultured bacterium. RNAcentral's name for it is "partial 16S ribosomal RNA". It matches the Rfam family "Bacterial small subunit ribosomal RNA", at positions 30 to 523 of the family's 1533-position model. The record is from RNAcentral.